Long non-coding RNA from Drosophila serrata, 694 nucleotides. Lineage: Eukaryota; Metazoa; Arthropoda; Insecta; Diptera; Drosophilidae. The record is from RefSeq and is a predicted model, not a curated record.
UGUCUCUCUUGUUGUUCUUGCUGUUGCUGCUGGCGUUGACACCCACCCACACAGAUGCAGGGCGAGUGUGCCGACAGUGUGUGUGUGUGAGUGUGUGUGACUGUUAGUGCCGAGUGUUAAACCGCAUUGUUUGAAUGCAGCGCUGAGCGAACAAUGUAAAUUGCCAGCGAAACUCUGACAACUACACUGGGAAAAUAAGUAAAUGAAGAAGAAAGUAAUUGAUAAACUAUAUAGAUCAAUUAGUUUUAAGGACAUCAUCUUAUAACAAGGAAGAAAGCUGCAGGUCUUUACCGUUCCAGAAAUAUAAGACAGGACAACGCGGCAGUACCAGGACACGAAAACGAAAACGAACACGAACAGGGACAUGGACAUGGAUUCUGGAGCACAGACGGAACGCAACAAAGCCGUCUCAGAUGAAGCAGCUCCAGGGAGAGGGCAGAGCAACAGCAACAGCAACUCCUUUUUACAGUCAAACAUACAGAAAAAGGAUACACAGGAAGAAAUGCCGAACCUUUAUCAAUGACUUUUGGAACUCUUUAAGCCCGUUUUAAAGUCUCCAAAUUGUCCAAAACCUCUAGUUGCCUUGCCUUAAGUUUAAUAUCCCUAAGAGUAACCCAUUUUCUUGCCGUGCCCUCUCACACACGGCCUCGGCGAAGACAAUGACAAUACAAACAUCGGGUAACGGGGAAAAAUG